UACGUAGGGCGCAAGCGUUGUCCGGAAUUAUUGGGCGUAAAGAGCUCGUAGGCGGUUUGUCGCGUCUGCUGUGAAAACCUAAGGCUCAACCUUGGGCUUGCAGUGGGUACGGGCAGACUAGAGUGCGGUAGGGGUGACUGGAAUUCCUGGUGUAGCAGUGGAAUGCGCAGAUAUCGUAAGGAAGGCCGGUGGCGAAAGCGAGCCUCUGGACAGUUACUGACGCUGAUGCACGAAGGCCAGGGGAGCAAACGGG
Molecule: ribosomal RNA, 253 nt
Filed under: uncultured bacterium
Lineage: Bacteria
Description: partial 16S ribosomal RNA
Rfam family: Bacterial small subunit ribosomal RNA
Source: RNAcentral